This 248-nucleotide non-coding RNA is filed under the name Thiocapsa roseopersicina. The record is from RNAcentral. Lineage: Bacteria; Pseudomonadati; Pseudomonadota; Gammaproteobacteria; Chromatiales; Chromatiaceae.
UGACUCCCGCCGGGGUAAUCGCUAGCCACGAGCCCAGUAUCGAGCCAUUCGGCGCGACUGGCAACAGGCGCGUCGAUGCGUAGGCACGACAGCAGACGAGGUGCACAGGUCAUGGGUGGAGCCGACCUUGAAUGUAUUGAGCCCCUAGAAGUUUUGUCGAGAGUGCCGACGGGUUUGUCCCUCCGACAGGCAACAGUCCGUGGCGCGUUGUGGCGAGUGGCACGGGUACUCCCUGGGGUCUGAGGCCA